UCCUGGCUCAGGAUGAACGCUAGCUACAGGCUUAACACAUGCAAGUCGAGGGGAAACGACAUCGAAAGCUUGCUUUUGAUGGGCGUCGACCGGCGCACGGGUGAGUAACGCGUAUCCAACCUGCCCACCACUUGGGGAUAACCUUGCGAAAGUAAGACUAAUACCCAAUGACGUCUCUAGAAGACAUCUGAAAGAGAUUAAAGAUUUAUCGGUGAUGGAUGGGGAUGCGUCUGAUUAGCUUGUUGGCGGGGUAACGGCCCACCAAGGCGACGAUCAGUAGGGGUUCUGAGAGGAAGGUCCCCCACAUUGGAACUGAGACACGGUCCAAACUCCUACGGGAGGCAGCAGUGAGGAAUAUUGGUCAAUGGACGAGAGUCUGAACCAGCCAAGUAGCGUGCAGGAUGACGGCCCUAUGGGUUGUAAACUGCUUUUAUAAGGGAAUAAAGUGAGUCUCGUGAGACUUUUUGCAUGUACCUUAUGAAUAAGGACCGGCUAAUUCCGUGCCAGCAGCCGCGGUAAUACGGAAGGUCCGGGCGUUAUCCGGAUUUAUUGGGUUUAAAGGGAGCGUAGGCCGGAGAUUAAGCGUGUUGUGAAAUGUAGACGCUCAACGUCUGCACUGCAGCGCGAACUGGUUUCCUUGAGUACGCACAAAGUGGGCGGAAUUCGUGGUGUAGCGGUGAAAUGCUUAGAUAUCACGAAGAACUCCGAUUGCGAAGGCAGCUCACUGGAGCGCAACUGACGCUGAAGCUCGAAAGUGCGGGUAUCGAACAGGAUUAGAUACCCUGGUAGUCCGCACGGUAAACGAUGGAUGCCCGCUGUUGGCCUGAAUAGGUCAGCGGCCAAGCGAAAGCAUUAAGCAUCCCACCUGGGGAGUACGCCGGCAAC
This 885-nucleotide ribosomal RNA is filed under the name uncultured bacterium. Its description in RNAcentral is "bacterial SSU rRNA". It matches the Rfam family "Bacterial small subunit ribosomal RNA", at positions 17 to 892 of the family's 1533-position model. The record is from RNAcentral.